ACUACGGGUGGCUGCAGUAGGGAAUCUUCCACAAUGGACGAAAGUCUGAUGGAGCAACGCCGCGUGAGUGAAGAAGGGUUUCGGCUCGUAAAGCUCUGGUGGUAGUGAAGAAAGAUAGAGGUAGUAACUGGCCUUUAUUUGACGGUAAUUACUUAGACAGUCACGGCUAACUACGUGCCGGCAGACGCGGUAAUACGUAGGUGGCAAGCGGUGUCCGGAUAUAUUGGGCGUAAAGCGAGUGCAGGCGGUGCAAUAAGUCUGAUGUGAAAGCCUUCGGCGCAACCGGAGAAUUGCAUCAGAAACUGUUGAACUUGAGUGCAGAAGAGGAGAGUGGAACUCCAUGUGUAGCGGUGGAAUGCGUAGAUAUAUGGAAGAACACCAGUGGCGAAGGCGGCUCUCUGUUCUGCAACUGACGCUGAGGCUCGAAAGCAUGGGUAGCGAACAGGAUUAGAUACCCUGGUAGUC
This 465-nucleotide ribosomal RNA is filed under the name uncultured bacterium. Its description in RNAcentral is "partial 16S ribosomal RNA". It matches the Rfam family "Bacterial small subunit ribosomal RNA", at positions 338 to 795 of the family's 1533-position model. The record is from RNAcentral.